CGUCUUGCAGUGUCGCUCUUGGCUCCCGAAGGACGCUGCGGGUCGCCGUGGCGCUCCCCGGGUGACCGUGCAGUCCCGGUCUCCCCGCCGCGGGCUGGUGUCACAGCUGUGAGGUCGGGCUGGGCCCUCCGGGGCGGGAAGGACGGACUGGUUCUGCUAGACACCGUUGAGCAAGCUCAGGCGUGUGUUCUUGGAUCGCAUUCUCUUAUGUGGAAAUUUUUGUUUAAGUGGGAUAAGAGCAAAGGGAAGAAGAUAGCAAGACCUCGAAGAUCCGAGCGUGAAAUGUUUGAUCCCUCGGGUGGGGUAGGAGAGCACCCUCUACGGAUGAGCACCAGGCACGAGCAUUACUGUAGCAGAGACUGGACCGGCUCGAGGAGGAAGGGGCUGGCGCGGAACACGAGGUUUUGCUGAGUUGUCCAAGUGGGACUCGAACUUGGGGUCUUCGUACUUCACCCUCCCUUGGUGAUUACAGGCGAUCUUUCAUCUAGAACUGAGAGAUUAAAUCUCUGUUGCAACCCCAGGAAACUAAUACGAGGCUCAAGAUAACCACGGGAUAAGUUUGGAGACCCACUGGGCCCACUUUAAGAAGGAUAUCUGAGUGAAAACUCCUUGCUCAGUUGACCAUCUAUCCGGAAGUACCCACACUAAAUGAAAAAGUGCCAGAAUACCAUGGCAUCAGUAGAUGAAUUACAACACAAACCCUUCAGCCUGGAGCAAAGCCCUGUCAUCCUCUGGAAAACUGCUUUUAGUUUGCAACUGGAUUUUAACCAUGGGAACCAAGUAACCAUGUGGCCUGAUCAUGUGAUAAUAUGUAUGAAUGCUGUUUCAUUAAUUGAAAUACAUGCC
This 846-nucleotide long non-coding RNA is filed under the name Heterocephalus glaber (naked mole-rat). RNAcentral's name for it is "lncRNA (ENSHGLG00100044136.1)". The record is from RNAcentral. Lineage: Eukaryota; Metazoa; Chordata; Mammalia; Rodentia; Bathyergidae.